Molecule: unclassified non-coding RNA, 1370 nt
Filed under: Hevea brasiliensis (rubber tree)
Lineage: Eukaryota; Viridiplantae; Streptophyta; Magnoliopsida; Malpighiales; Euphorbiaceae
Source: RNAcentral
CAAAGCCUACAUGAGAAGAGUUGGUCCAAGAAGAAAAACCAAGCCAAGAAUGGUUGGAUAGAAGACCAAUCAACUAAGAAUGCUUGAAGACAGAGCUACUUCAAGAGGAAGAGUUUCUCUUAGGAGGAACAAGAAAUUUGUUGGUGAGAAGUGCAACAGCAAAAGAGAAAAUGGUGAGAAGUGCACCCCUAGACAAUAAAUGGUGAGAGGUGCACCAGAAAAUUAAUCAUGAAAGUUAGAGAGACGUGAUCCAAAAAACAAAUCAGCAAACUUGGAGAGGUGUGCUCCAGGACAACCAAUCAAAUCAGAAAUUUAGAGAGAUGAUGCUCCAAGGUAACUCAAUUUGGAGUUUUUAGCAAAGUAUCAGUGAGGAGGGUUUAAGCAUGAGAUAUUAUUGCUUCAUACUCUAAAUUUCUGCAACUUCCAAGAAUCUGGUUUAUGUAUUUUAAAAUUUAGUUUGAAUCCAAAAUCCUGAAAUCUAGCUGCAAAGAUAGGUCUGAUUUGUAACAUAUAAGGCAAAUUUUCUAAGCAAGGUACUCUGCUUCUUUCUUAGUUGAUUAGGUAGAAAUCAUGUAAUAUUUUGCCCUGUAAAUAGCCUUGUACUAUUGAAAGCAAAGAGAGGAUGAGAUGUAAGAAAUCAAUGUGUGUUUCUGCAGUUAUCUAUUUCAAAUUUCUCAGUUUUUCUUCCUUCAAAUCCCAAAGUAAUGAGCUCAAGCACAGACCAAAAACGCUGGUUAGCUAAACUAAAACCCAGUAUAUGCGGAUUCUGAGCACAAUCAACUCUUAAUCUCAAAUAUCCAAAGUUCUGACCCUUGCUACCAAAUAAAAACACUUUUUGCUGCAUCAUUCAAGUUAGGCAGGUAUCAGUGAAGCCCUAAAACAAACAACUCCCAUGUAGAAUACAAUUUUGCAAGAGAACUGAAUCUGACUUAUGCAGUCCCUUUCUAGCGCAAUGCCCCUUCUAGAGCAAAUCAGGUAAUUCUUAGCCAUUUCUUGACUAUAUUUGAAAUCCUCUCGUCGGAAUAAUCUGCCAAAUCAAUCAAUGGUGUUCAAACUAUCAUUCAAGUUUACUGUUUCCUAUAAAGAAGAAACUAAGAACUAGUACCAUGGAACAUCCACUUUCUCCUGCAAAAUACUCCAAUUUUCCCUUCACAUCCCUAAUCCCUUUCCUCUAUCUAAUUAGGGUUAAAUUUACAAGCAGCAAAUAACCAAAGUACUUGCAAGCAAUAUUUUAGCAACAGCCCACGAGUCAUAUAAAAAAUGUGAUCAACACAAAAUAGUUCAAACAAAUUUCUGCCUCUAGCAAAAACCAUUUGAAUAGUAGACAUUACCAAAAAUUAGGCAAUAGCAGGUUAUUAAAUUAAAUACCU